GACGAACGCUGGCGGCGUGCCUAAUACAUGCAAGUAGAACGCUGAAGAGAGGAGCUUGCUCUUCUUGGAUGAGUUGCGAACGGGUGAGUAACGCGUAGGUAACCUGCCUUGUAGCGGGGGAUAACUAUUGGAAACGAUAGCUAAUACCGCAUAACAAUGGAUGACACAUGUCAUUUAUUUGAAAGGGGCAAUUGCUCCACUACAAGAUGGACCUGCGUUGUAUUAGCUAGUAGGUGAGGUAACGGCUCACCUAGGCGACGAUACAUAGCCGACCUGAGAGGGUGGAUCGGCCACACUGGGACUGAGACACGGCCCAGACUCCUACGGGAGGCAGCAGUAGGGAAUCUUCGGCAAUGGGGGCAACCCUGACCGAGCAACGCCGCGUGAGUGAAGAAGGUUUUCGGAUCGUAAAGCUCUGUUGUAAGUCAAGAACGAGUGUGAGAGUGGAAAGUUCACACUGUGACGGUAGCUUACCAGAAA
This 480-nucleotide ribosomal RNA is filed under the name uncultured bacterium. RNAcentral describes it as "bacterial SSU rRNA". It matches the Rfam family "Bacterial small subunit ribosomal RNA", at positions 28 to 489 of the family's 1533-position model. The record is from RNAcentral.